GACGAACGCUGGCGGCGUGCUUAACACAUGCAAGUCGAACGGAAAGGCCCUGCUUUUGUGGAGUGCUCGAGUGGCGAACGGGUGAGUAACACGUGAGUAACCUGCCCUUGACUUUGGGAUAACUUCAGGAAACUGGGGCUAAUACCGGAUAGGAGCUCCUGCUGCAUGGUGGGGGUUGGAAAGUUUCGGCGGUUGGGGAUGGACUCGCGGCUUAUCAGCUUGUUGGUGGGGUAGUGGCUUACCAAGGCUUUGACGGGUAGCCGGCCUGAGAGGGUGACCGGCCACAUUGGGACUGAGAUACGGCCCAGACUCCUACGGGAGGCAGCAGUGGGGAAUAUUGCAUAAUGGGCGGAAGCCUGAUGCAGCAACGCCGCGUGCGGGAUGACGGCCUUCGGGUUGUAAACCGCUUUCGCCUGUGACGAAGCGUGAGUGACGGUAAUGGGUAAAGAAGCACCGGCUAACUACGUG
RNAcentral lists this ribosomal RNA (468 nucleotides) under uncultured bacterium. RNAcentral's name for it is "partial 16S ribosomal RNA". It matches the Rfam family "Bacterial small subunit ribosomal RNA", at positions 28 to 507 of the family's 1533-position model. The record is from RNAcentral.